This is a non-coding RNA of Chrysemys picta bellii (western painted turtle), 6891 nucleotides long. The record is from RefSeq and is a predicted model, not a curated record. NCBI's taxonomy places the organism in Eukaryota, Metazoa, Chordata, Testudines, Emydidae.
UUUAUUCCAGCAAAGCUACAACAGAGGGAGCCAUAUUAAAUGGACAACUGCCCCAUGGGUUACACCUUCUCACAAGCAAGCUCUAUAAAGGAGAAAAGUAUGAUGUGGUCUCCCCUACCAGAAGCAAAUGAAGCAUUCCAAAUGUGUGGAUACAUGACUGCUUGAGAGCUCAAAAGGCAGUUUGAAGAGCUGUAGCUAUGAAGUUUUUUUACUUUGUUUAGGAAGCCAGGAAAGAAAAAUGCCUACCAGUCUGGCAAAGAAACAAUCCAUAAACGUAUCAAGUACAGCAAGAUGAUCUGCUUCUCAUUUCCUCCUUGCUUCCUGGUCUGGGUUUAGCAGGCACAAGCACUUCUCCUCAAGGCCCCUUCCCCACAGCCUACCUGUGUGUUCUGUUUGUAUCCUUGCUUUAAUGAGUCCCCAAUUAACCACUUGGCUGCCUAUUGUAAUGUAAGGUUUAUAUUGCUUAUCUUUGUCAUAUCAUUAUUAUUACUCUGUCCCCAACAACAAAAUACAAAACACCAAAAAACACUUCUCUUCAGCAAUGGCAACCAAAUAAAGCACAUUUUGGAGUUCUUAGGCCAACUUGUUUUAGAGGAAUGGUGAGCCAAAGGCAACAAAAAAAGGUCAUUUUCAGAGAAUCGAUAAAAGGAAAAAACAUCACUACGCGCUAAUUUUGAAACUUUUUUUAGAUUUCUUCCAAAUGUCCUAGGGAAAAAAAAAUCUUCCCUGGGGGAGUUGGGGCAUAUGAAGUUUUGAGAAGAUUGGCUUCUUCUGGGGAGAGCAGGGAGUGAGUUGUGUUUCAAAAGUGGGUUUGUACUGGAAAAUUAAUUGAAGCCUUAACUAGAGAGUGGCUUUAAGGCCCCUACUGCUGGAAACAUCUGUACAUGGGCUAACUACUCCCCCCACGUGGCACCCCACUGACUUUAGUAGAGCUCUCUGCAGAAGUUUGCAGGAAGGAAGAAAUGAAUAUGUGUGCACCUGGCAUAGUCCAGAUUUCCUCAUUUGUAGAAAAAGAAAAAAAAUGCUGCUCAGAGAAACCUGAUUUUGCACUAUCUGCAAUACUCAUUUUUUUCCUUCUCUCUUCUUUGGUUAUGAGUAUUGCUUACAACCACAUAUAGAGCAAAAACAAAAAUAGAUCCUUGGGGGCUUUUUUCCAGCUCCUUUGAGUAUUGUUGAAAUUAUGCAAACCACCUGGUAUUCUUAGAUAAAUUCUCAUAUUUAAAAGAGGAAAAACAUUUAAAUAUAAAUCUGACAGCUGAAAGAUGGCUUAAAUAUAAAAAACAAAACAGAUGGUGGUCUCUUAGAAAAGAAAUCCUAAUAAAACCUCAUUAGAUGUUCAGACCUUGUUGUCAGUUACAGUAUCUGUUCCCUUCUAUCUCUCACAGCCAAUCCGUGUUGUAUCCUGUAGAUCACCAGCAUAAGAAGCAUUCACAAACCUAAUAGAUUGCAUACAUGACAAAGGCCUCAGUAUUAUUAGGACCAUAUAGAAAAUCCCAGUGUUCAGCAACAAAGCCUAAUGUUGCAAAGACUUUGGCAUGUGCUUAACUAUAUGCACAAUGAGACUAUUCAUACGCAUAGAGUUAAGCAUGUUCUUAAGUGUUCUCAGGUUUGGGGCCUACAAUAUGAAGUUUAAAUUAUGGCUGAGAGUGAAAUAGAAAUAAAGAAUUGAAAAUCAAGGCAAACAAUCCUUUUGAUGGGUCAGGACAGGCCAGAAGUCUUCAGAUAAAGAAAGUGAGCCCUGCAUAGGGGCCGACUCCCAAAGUCUCUAGUCUUUCAGUUAAAUGGGUGUAUCAAUAAAUCAUAUUUGAGUUGUAUAUUUCUAACUAGUGAUGUAUUAAUACUGAAAAGAAGGCCUUUGUCCACCUAUUCAAAUAUAAAUAGGAGUCUAUGUCUAGAGCGGGUUUGGAAGCUGCUUAGGGACAAAUGAUGUCCAAGGACAAAUACUAAGAAGUAAACUAAAGCAAAGCACUGGAACAGGAGCUGAUAAAAAUUCAAUGGGAAAUAAGAGAAAAGGGAAGUAUAGAUGUCAAAGAUGAGCUCAAUUUACUUUACCAUCAGCUUGGGGAGUAAACAGGAGUAAGAAGGCGUAAAGGCCUGAUCCAAAGCCCAUCAAAGUUCAUGAGAGUCUUUACCUAAAUGCACAGAGUCAUUUUUCAACCUUAAACAUUUGCUAUUUCUAAAAAAAAAAAGUUAUAUUGAUUUUUUGAGGAGGCAAAGGGAGAGGGAGAGAGUCUAUUUGCAUCAGUACAUUCACAUGCAGAGAAAGCAGGAACAGAGCAUGCCCCCCUCCCCAACCGUUGCAACGUACUUUCUAAUCUGUACUUGUAUCAUUUGAAGAUGAGCAAAGGAUCAGGAGUAAACUGGUUUUACAUUUACUGCCAAAAUAUCUCUAUCCCCAUUAAACUUCUGUUCUCUUUUUAGUUGCAUAUUCCUGUGGCUUAAGAAUGGAGAAAGUAUGUAAAAUAACAUGCUCUUGGGUGUCUCAAUUUUCAACCCAGAGCAGAUUUCUUACUGCCAAGAUAUAAACUCUUUAAAAUGUGGUUUAUAAUAUAAGUGCUGCUACAACCUUGAACUUAGGUGAACAAACAGCAUGACUAUAAUUAUGCUCUAUGAGAAAUAUAAUGUAUUCUGAAGUCAUAAUUUGGUUAUUUAUUGUCUAUAAUUACAUUUUUAGUUUCUCUUUCAAAAUUUUAUAAACAGCAUGGGCUUCUCAGUAAAAAUCAGAUCAGCUACCCGUCUAGUACCACUGUACUUGCCAAUCUGUAGGCUUCCCUUUUAUUCCUUCCUCAGUCACUUGGAAGCGUUGAUGUAUAUGAAAGUGAGAUUAAGGGCCACAUUUACCAAAGUGGCCUCUGAGUUUUCUGUGCUGCUUCUCAGUGAGUUCAGGUUGGAGCUGUAAGUGCUCAGAAUCUCUGACCUAGCUGUCUAAAAUGAGGCAGCCAAAAGCUCAAGUUCAAGACAACUUUUUAAAAUUCAAACAAUCUCAGAUGCUAGGAGACUAAUUCAGAUUCUUAGGGUGGAAACUUAAGAAGUGCUGUGUUUGUGCUCAGUUCUUUUUCCUAAUCCUCCUUUAUACUCUGCCCCUUUAAUGUAGUGAUAGAUUAAUAGAUUUUAAGGCCAGAGGGAAUCAUUAAAUCAUCUAGUUUGACCUUCUGUUUAACACAGGCCAUAAAAUUUCAUUUAGUUACUCUUGUAAUGAGCCCAAUAAUGUUUGACCAUAGCUUAUCUUACAGUUGGGGUUCAAGCUAAUCUUAAACAUAAGCAAAGGAAAUAAUAAUAUUUCCCAAUAAAUGAGUUGGGUCUUUUGACCUUUACACAGAAACAAUAUUAAUGCCCCUUGGCUUUAGCAGCUAGUCAAUAUUCAGGGCCUUGCUGGGUUGUUUCUGUUAGGAGUAGAAAUUGAUUAUACAAGUGACGUAUUUCUUUGCUGCAACCGUAUUUAUUUACAAAAAUUCUUUACGAAGUCCUGUUUCCCUGAACACAGUAGAAACAAACAGUAGCAGACAGUUUCCUUGCUCACCGUUUCCUUCCCUGCUUUUCCAGCUACUCAUGGGAGAGACACAAAGGAUCAAGUGACCCUCCAGCAGGGUCCAGUGCCCACAGCAGCCAGUCCAGGUGGGGAGAGGAAGGGGCGGGGCCAGAUCCUCUCCUUCUCCCACCGCGCUGCCUGGGAUGCUGCCAGCAGCAGCACAGCAGCUGACUUUGACUGGGGGAGUACCUGGCUGUCGAAGCAGCAGGCUGCCCCCCACCCUGGCUCAGCUUCUGGGGACAGCGGCAGAGCGAGCAGGAGCCCUCCUCUCCCCCCUCUCCCCCCGUCCUGUCUGGCAUGCUCAGAAUCGGCUCUUGUCCCCAGAAGCUGAGCCUGGCCAGGGAGCGGUGCUUCUGGGGACAGGAGCCAACUCUAAGCAUGCCAAGGAGGGCAGGGGAGCUCCAACUCAUUCAGCUGCUAUCCCAGAAGCCAAGCCCAGGUGGGAGGCAUCCCGCUGCCGCCGCAGCCAGGCACUCUCCCAGGCAGGUGCUGUGCUGCACCGGGCGUCAUCCAGGAGUGGCUCUGGGACUUGUCUGCCAGGAAGAGCAGCCGAAUAUACCAGAAGGAUCCAGCGCAGUGGGAGGACAGAGUCCCCCUCCCCAGGUAAUGUGGGAUGGGGAGAGUGCAGAGUCCCCAGGCUGGGGGCAGGGAGGAGGUCACGUGUCCUCUCCUUUAGCUGGCACUCCCUUUGUGUCCCUCCCAUGAGUCGCCUAUUCUCUGCUCCCUCAGGACCAUGCUCACCGCUGCUUCUCUGGCUUUCGGUUGGCUGUUUCCUGGUUGUAUUCUCUUGGCUUCCUACCUGCUUUCUAUCGUUGACCCACAGAAGUAGCUCCAACCCCUUUGCAAUCAGACCCAAGGAAACCCUUCACACCACUAGCUUAGCUUCUACUCGGGCCUUGACAUACUGGUCCAUGCUUUUUAGGCUGACUAGACAACAAGUGUGAAAAAUCGGGACGGGGGAUGGGGGGUAAUAGGAGCCUGUAUAAGAAAAAGACCCAAAAAUCAGGACUGUCCCUAUAAAAUUGGGACAUCUGGUCACCUUAAUGCUUUUAGAUGGUGGCUAGCAUGCCCAUCAGCUUUAACAAGAUCUGUGAUUGCCUGUAGAUCAAAGACACACUUGAUGGCAGCCAUUAACACCUUGCAGAAUAACAAUAUGGAGAAACCACAUGGACACAAUGGAGAACCAAAUAAAUAUAUUUAGUCAAUACACCAAACAUUCCAGUUUUGUCUGACUUGAUAACUCCAACAUGGCCUCUGAUUUUAACUUCUGACCUCAAGGGAAUGUCCUUCUAAAUGAGAUGAACAUUUCACUGGAAGAGGGCCAAGCAUGACUGAUUGGAGAAGAGGGACAGGAAGACGAAACAAUUAAUGUUCUUAGUCCAUAUAGGUAUCACUGUUAUCUGUCAAUCAUAUACAUGUGGCACUAAAAUGAGAAUCUAUGGUUCAAAAUGCACAGAUCCCUAUUCCCUCUGCUAAAGGAACAGCCCUUUAUUUCAGCCAGUUCAGAGAACUCAUAGAUGUAAGCAAAUCUGAGUUAGUCCACCCAGUAAAGGGCCACGGCAGGAAUUAAAGUGAAGAGGGGGAAAGUGUGCAUUCUGCUGAAAGCAGCAAGAGAGCACCCCUUUUGGCUUUUGGAAAGCUCAGUUGUCCCAUAGAUCCCCCUCCUCCAGCCCACAAAAGUGCAGCAUGAGGAGAUGUUUCUGGGGUUCCUACCUGGACCACCACUACGUGGAAAAGUAGCAUCACAUGAUGGGACAUGAAGAGGUGUCCCAACUCAGCAUCCCACAUCUGUCUCUUGUAAAGGUAGUUCUAUCCCUCUGCCAAAUUCCCCACUCUUCCAGUGGGAAAGACAAAUAAAUAUAUAUGUUUUAGAUAUGUAGCUCAAAGAGCUAGCUAAGCCUUUUAUUAUAUUCAGCAAUAAUGCAAGGAACAUAUUGGCCUGUAUCCUGUAAGACAUUAGCUUAAACAAGUUAACAUAAGUAUAGUCAAGCAUAGUAGGCCUGUGACCCUUGGCACUGAUAAAUGGUCUGACAGUUACCCUUUGAUUUUGGGGAGCUAGGGAUAACUUGCUCAAUAGCAGGAGUUGGAAUCUAACAAAAUCAGGCAACCACAGCAACACUGAAGUGAUACUGGGCUUGGAUAUUUUACGACAGAAUAGUUGGCAGAUGUCGAACCACAAACUUGCUUGAGCAUUAGGUGAAAUAUAUAAUAAUGAGUUAAACAGCCUUAAUAUGUAUUAAAAUGUUAACCUAUAGGAAAAGUACACCCCAAUAUUAUUAUAAAAUACUUAGAUUUAGACACGGAAGGCUGGGGAUUAGAAUGAAUAUUCUUGGUAGUGCUCAGGCCCUAUCAUAGGGCAAACCACCAUCUGGAGGUUUGACCCUUCAGCUCUAUUGUUAUCUACCAUCCAUCUUGGGCAUUGAGGAACCGCAGACACAUGCAGCAUGCCAGAAGCAAGGCUGUUCCUUUGUCUCUCACCACCAGGUCCUCAGAGGAAGGGUGUAAAUAUCAAGUCUCAGAGCAUAUUCAAAAAAUGAUACCACAGGUAUCCCCAAGACUGUAUUAUUCCUAUUUGUUUAUGUUGCUUGAAGCUUUUCAGCCUUUAUUAUUGAUCCUAAUGAAAACCACUAACGCUUUGCUUUGCCCUCAGUGUGAGUGCUCUUGCCACACACCUUGAGGUUCCCUACAUUAUAUUGAACUUGUUGCUUUUAAUUCUGUGUAGCCUGAUUCUGAGACAAGAACCCCAUUAACCCUCAGCUCAUAGAUCAGGAUGAGUUGACAAUCAAUAUAAGUAUUAUUAAUCAUUAAAAAGGAUCAGGCAACACCAGAAACCUCCCUUUUGUACUGUUGAAAAUGCAAAAGAUGCCAGCAUCUUUCUAAUACAUUCCCAAAUCCACAGGGAACACAGAAUGAUUAUUUAAAGCAAUAACAUAAUAAAAUAAAAUGAGUACACACAUUGCACUAGGUAUUGAAUGUUUUCUUGGAGAAGAACACUCUCAAUUUUCCCAUUUUAGUUUGGUUGUACUGAUUCUGAUGAAAUUGUAAGGAUGGCAUUCAUAGAAAUGGUCAUGGGAAUCACAAUUCCACAAACUAGAUAAUUUUUAAAGAGGAUUUGUCUUGCCAGGUAGACAUUUCAGUGUUCUCAUCUGAGUCUGUAGAGGAGUGCAUGAGCUAGUUUUUUUCCUGAAAUCAACCCAAAUUAGACCAUUUAAACCAUUACAUUUAGAAAGUCAAUUGUCCCCAAGUUGGAAUCGGCAUAUGUCACGAAUUACACUGCUCUACAGCCAAAAUGCUUCUGAAAUAAAUGUAGUCAAACAUUACUAAUUCUGGGUCACUGAGAACGAAAAUGAUGCUUAACAUUG